Long non-coding RNA from Paramormyrops kingsleyae, 1146 nucleotides. RefSeq lists it as uncharacterized. Lineage: Eukaryota; Metazoa; Chordata; Actinopteri; Osteoglossiformes; Mormyridae. The record is from RefSeq and is a predicted model, not a curated record.
UAUACUGUAGUUUUUAUUUUUUAGAGCGUACUCUUUCCACUUACUAAAAAGAAAAAAAAAGUUUACUGUAAAACAAACUGCUGGGUUAAAGCGUAAACCAAUCGCCGUAAAAUGCUUCUUCAGAACAUCAGCGUGAUUUGCGUAAACGAAAUACGAAUGAACGGCAUGAUUGACGGGCUCGUGGGGUGACGUAGGGUAGGCCGUGUUGGAUUUCCAACCUCGCCUUCCCGCAGGCUGCAGCCAGGGGCUUCUCCGGCUUCCAGGAAACGUCCUGGUGUCGUCGUUCAUUUUUCAUCCCCGCACUCCUGCUGUCCCGCCCCGCGGCCCCCAGGAACAGGACGCGGCGAGGCCAAAAUAAGACACGCAGCAUGGCGGUGGCGAUUCGAGCUUCCAGCUCCCGUCUGCUCACCAGGCGUCUGCUACAGCUCCAGUUCCUCAGCGAUUGAUAUUUCCUGUUGUUGCAAGCGCCCCCAUCAGGCAAUCAGUCUCAUCAAGGUGCACAGUGAGUGAAAAGUCGACAGUGGCUGAUUAGAUGCUGACUUUUCCCUCAAGCUGACUUUUGCCAUGAAUUGAGCAAGGAAUGGUCCAGUGACACCGGAUGACUGCAGCUGGCUUCUGUUGCAUGACAGAUCCAUUGAGGUUCUGACCUCCCAGAAGGGCAAUCAUGAUGAACCCCGAAGCUCAUGUAAAAUACAUUUCCUCUGAGCCGUACAUCUACUUCUCUAAUGGCUCAAACCUGGUGGUCAACAACAAAAGAAAGAAUAUUUCUUUGCCCUGCUUUUAUUUUUGAAUUUCUCUGCUUUGUUUCCCUUUCACAUAAAAUGUUUCCCUAAUGGAAUCUGAGUGAUUUCAAAAAGAAAUGGUAGCGUGAUGCCAUGGAAAGCCUACAUCUGAGUUCAAAAGGAAAUUGUGUCUAAAACUAUCUUAGAUUUCUUUUGAUUGCCUAUUGAUUUUUGUGGAGCCAGGAUGCUGCUUUACAUGGUUGUUCAAAUCAAAGGCACUCAAAAAUUGGGGGUAGGAGGUGGUCAAAAAGCUUCUUUUCACACAUCAAUUGCUGUGAAAUGUUUCCCAAAUAUUCUAGAACCAAUUAAGCUAAAAUGGAUUGAUCAUUACCUGUUACAAUCUCUGUCUGUAAUGUUCUCUUAA